Molecule: long non-coding RNA, 1217 nt
Organism: Gossypium raimondii (Peruvian cotton)
Lineage: Eukaryota; Viridiplantae; Streptophyta; Magnoliopsida; Malvales; Malvaceae
Exons: 3
Source: RefSeq, a predicted model, not a curated record
UUGAGAUGAUGUAUAUUUGAGAUUAUUACACUGUAACUUCUUCUCGCUUCGCUUCCUUUUUUUUCCCUUGGUGGUGUUGAAUUUUCCAGGAGAAUUUUCAAUGGAGAAACAAACGUUAUGUUUCUAUUAGGCAAAAGAGAUGUUAUCCUUUGGGGAUGCAGAGCGUUAAUUCUGCUCAGACUAUUCAGCUGAAGUAGUUGAUACUAAUUGAUGAAUUGUGAUUAUUGUUUUGCCUACUUGACUCUUGUUGAGUAUCCAUUGUUAAUUUAGAAUAAUCCCAAUUGUCCUUUUAUAUAUGACUCUACUGAAUACAUCAUUGGUGAUUGCAGGCCCAGCAAUUGAAGACAACUAAAAUGCUUUAUCUUUAAGGAAGAGUUGGUGAAACUCAUUCCUGUUUUUUCAGUUCGACGGUCUUAAUUUAAGCGUAUAGAGCUCCAUCAAUAAAUAAAAAGUAUAGUGGAAAAUAUCCCAACCCGGUUUUGCCAUUGUUGUAAGUGCUAAAUACCAGUAGUUAAUGCUCAUGAAUGGGAGAUUUGACUUUGCAAAAUCAUCAUUCCAGCGGAUAACAGUAAUUACGGAGUACAAGAACAACCCCCCGUAUUAACAACUUUUAUAUGAGCUUCUGUGUUCUGAUAUUCAUUGCUUUCUGAAUAGAGGCUUUUAUUGUGUUGCCAGCAGUAAUGUCAAUUUGCUAAAGACUAUGAUUGUUAUAUAUUGUUAUAUAUGAGCUUUUGUGUUCUGAUAUUCAUUGCUUUCUGAUAUUCACGCAGGUAUUUUUCUUUUCUUUUUAUUUGGUUGGGAAGUUCUCUUAUUUCGGCAUUCAAUUGAUGAUUACUAUUAUUCUUUUCGUUGUCAGUUGGCUGAUCAAUGAAAUAGGGGUAGAGAGAAGGUUUAAUUGAUUUCUAAUCGUAGUUUUUUUAGUAGUCUAGCCAGCCAGAGAAGUGAAGAAGAGCUAGAAAAAUUUCAGAUGUUGAGUUUUUUUUGGCCUUUCUUGAUACCUUCGAAUCACUCUUUGUAGAUAUCUAUGUCGUGCUAGUCCUACACAUGAUGAAGAGGCUGCAGCAAAGGCAGCUGCAAUCAAUUCUGACAGUUCAACACUAAGAGAACUUAAUGAUCAAUCAACUAGUGUGUUGCACUCGUAUCAUGAUUCAGGUGCAAUGCCGAGGGAUGUUUUCAACACACUACCACCGUUUAGCUGUGGACUAUAGGAACAAUUC